RNAcentral lists this ribosomal RNA (253 nucleotides) under uncultured bacterium. RNAcentral's name for it is "partial 16S ribosomal RNA". It matches the Rfam family "Bacterial small subunit ribosomal RNA", at positions 524 to 776 of the family's 1533-position model. The record is from RNAcentral.
UACGGGGGGGGCAAGCGUUGUUCGGAAUUACUGGGCGUAAAGCGUGCGCAGGCGGUUCGUCAAGUCUGAUGUGAAAGCCCCGGGCUCAACCUGGGAAUGGCAUUGGAAACUAGCGGGCUUGAGUGUGGCAGAGGGGGGUGGAAUUCCACGUGUAGCAGUGAAAUGCGUAGAUAUGCGGAGGAACGCCGAUGGCGAAGGCAGCCCCCUGGGCUAGCACUGACGCUCAGGCACGAAAGCGUGGGGAGCAAACAGG